GACGAACGCUGGCGGCGUGCUUAACACAUGCAAGUCGAACGGAAAGGCCCUGCUCUUGUUGGGUUCUCGAGUGGCGAACGGGUGAGUAACACGUGAGUAACCCGCCCCUGACUGUGGGAUAACUUCAGGAAACUCGGGCUCAUACCCGAUAUGAGCUCUUGCUCCACGGUGUUGGUUGGUAAGAUUCGGCUGUUGGGGCUGGACUCGCUGCUUAUCAGCUUGUUUGGGGGGUAGUGGCUUCCCAAGGCUUUGACGGGUAGCCUGCCUGAGAGCGUGACCGGCGACCUUAGUCCUGCGAGACGCAGCAGUAUCCUACGUGCGGCAGCAGUCGGGAGUAUUACAGAAUGGGCGGAAGCCUGAUGUAGCAACGCCCGGUGCGUAAUGCCGGCUUACGGGUUGUAAACAGCUUUCGAAGGUGCCGAGGAGUGAGUGACGGUAAUGAGUCAAAAAGCCCCGGCUAACUACGUG
This 468-nucleotide ribosomal RNA is filed under the name uncultured bacterium. RNAcentral describes it as "partial 16S ribosomal RNA". It matches the Rfam family "Bacterial small subunit ribosomal RNA", at positions 28 to 507 of the family's 1533-position model. The record is from RNAcentral.